UACCGCAGCGUCCUGCGCUGGGGGGGCUCUGCGCUUCUCCCAGCAGCACUGUCCCCACAGCCUACCAAAGCCUCAAGCUUUUGCUUGCAGAUAAUUAAUAGCAAACGUUUACAUAUGGAAAAACAAUGCGGUGGAGCCUGCGUCAGGUUUCUCCUUUGAUGCUCGCUGUAUGCUCGCUGUCUCUAACAGCACGUCAGGGCACGGCUGCGGCACACGGGGAGCCGGCGGCGGCGCCUUCCCAGAGAAGAAGCAGCAGAGAUGUUAAUUCCCCAGCUCCUGUCAACUGUCAGCUGAGCCAGUGGUCAGCGUGGACUGAUUGCUUUCCUUGCCAAGGAAAAAGACACCGGUACCGGACGCUGGUGCAGCCCGCGGGGUUCGCGGGGCAGCGCUGCACGGGGAACCUCUGGGAUGAGCAAGCUUGCCGUGCCGGGGAGACCUGCACCAGAGCCCCCAGCUGCGGGAAGGACUUUCGGUGCGAGGAGACCGGUCGCUGUAUUAAACGACAUCUCGUGUGCAACGGCGAGACAGACUGCAGAGAUGGGUCUGAUGAGAGUAACUGCGAGGAUGAAGAUAUUGAAAGCCCCUGUGAAGACCUGUACCCAAUCCCAGGGUCUGAAAAAGCAGCACAGGGAUACAACAUCCUAACACAGGAGGAGAAGCAGUACGUGUACGAUCCUAAUUUUGGUGGGGGGCAUUGCGAGUACGUCUACAACGGGGAGUGGCGGGAGCUGAAGUACGACGCUGCCUGCGAACGCCUCUACUACAUGGACGACGAGAAGUAUUUCCGCAAGCCUUACAACUUCCACGUGUACCAGUUCCUAGCUCAUGCUGAUUCUGGAUUCUCUUUUGAGUUUUAUGAAGAUUCAAAAGAUCUGCUUAAUGCCCUUGGAAGUAGUAAAAGCAGAGGAGGUGGUUUUACCUUCGGGAUUGGACCCAAAUCAGUACCUGUAAUGCUAAACCUCGGCUUUUCUUUAUCACGUGGCAAAGGAUCCCUGAAGAAUUUCACAGAAUACAAUGCAAAGGAUGUUGGAUUCAUUAGAGCUGUGACCAAGGUGCAGACGGCCCGUUUCAAGAUGAGAAGGAACAACAUCGUUUUGGAUGAAGACAUGCUCCUCUCCCUGCAAGAGCUUCCAGACACAUACAACUAUGGCAUGUACGCCAAAUUCAUCGACACCUACGGCACCCAUUUCAUGACAUCCGGCACUAUGGGAGGUGUCUUUGAGCACAUCCUGGUUGUUAACAAAGAGGAAAUGAGACGAAAAGAAAUCCGCUCUGAAGAAGUCAUGGCCUGUUUUGGGCUCUCAGCUGGCGUUUCGGUCAACAAGUUUGGGAUGGGAGUGGGAGCAUCCGUGUCAUACUCUCAGUGUGAUAAUAAAAAACUUCUGGAAGAGGAUGAGCAGAGCCACAGUGCCAUUGUGGAAGAUAUUAUUCCCCGGAUUAAAGGCGGAGAUACUGCUACCAGUGGAGGGCUCUUAAACAGUUGGGACGGCAACAUGUAUCGUCGCUGGGGAAGGUCAUUAAAAUACAAUCCUGCUAUUAUUGAUUUUGAGCUGCAGCCCAUCCACGAAAUUCUCCGCAGGAGCGACCUGAGCAACAUGGAAACCAAGCGGCAGCACCUGAAGCGGGCUCUGGAUGAUUACUUGCUGGAGUUCAACGCCUGCCGCUGCGGACCGUGCCAGAACGAUGGCGAGCCCAUUCUGGUGGGCGACACGUGUGCUUGCCAGUGCCAGCCGGGGUACGAGGGCCAUGCCUGCGAGCGGAGCAGGCGCCCAGGCACUGGGACGAGCGGGCGCUGGAGCUGCUGGUCACCCUGGGCUCCCUGCCAGGGGGGCUCCAGGAGGCGCAGCCGGCAGUGCACCAACCCUGCCCCGCAGCACGGCGGGGCACCCUGCAUGGGGACGAGCGUGCAGAGCAAAGCGUGCUAAAAUCAGCACCGCUCCCCACCGGUACGUGCUCGAGGUGUUUUGGUGUCUGUGCUGGGCAAUAAAUACAGUGGGCAUAACUCUGCAACUGAAUUACGCUGGGGACAAAGAAUUGCAUUUACACACGUAGGGGGAUGAGCUGGAUUUGCUGUACAAAACACAGCUGCUGUCCAGACAAAUUGCUCGGGCUGACUGCAUGCAUGCCUGGCUGCACCCUGCUCCACCAGUGCUCUGGCUGGAUGGGUCCACUGGUGUCCCCACCAGGUCAACUGGUGUCCCCACUGGGUCCACUGGUGUCCCCAUUGGGUCUGCUGGUGUCCCCCCACCAUGUCACAGCCGUGCUGCCAGAACACAGGAGGUGGCAGAGAACCAGCACAGGAGGCUUUGCUGCUGCGUGUCCAUUUCUCGCUGCUCAUGAAAUACAUUUACUAAAACUGUUUACUUAAGUAAGCUUCACUCGCAGAAAUUUUUAUGUUUGCCUUUGGAAAACAAAUUAAAAGCCCGCGAUCCUUGCA
Oxyura jamaicensis (ruddy duck) is the source of this 2437-nucleotide RNA transcript. It is a transcript of the gene named complement C8 alpha chain, with no coding region annotated. Lineage: Eukaryota; Metazoa; Chordata; Aves; Anseriformes; Anatidae. The record is from RefSeq and is a predicted model, not a curated record. The transcript has 12 exons.